Small nucleolar RNA from Tachyglossus aculeatus (Australian echidna), 138 nucleotides. The record is from RefSeq and is a predicted model, not a curated record. Lineage: Eukaryota; Metazoa; Chordata; Mammalia; Monotremata; Tachyglossidae.
UCCCUCUCAGGGUUGCAGCUGGAGAGUUUCCAGUCCUCUACCAGUCUCGGCUACAGGAGGGAGAGUCAAGCAGAGUCCUACCCUUUCCAUUCCUAGCUUGGGCAGUGGCUAGUGAGCGGAAAGCAAUAUGCUACAAAU